CAACAGUUCAGAUGAAAAUAUCCCAUUCCUAACUCCUUCCCUGACAUUGCCCAAGUGGCAGGAAGAAUUAUUUGAGAUGAAUUCCUUGGUUUUUAAAUUGAUUUUGUGUCCCGUAGGUUUCCUCCGUAAAGUGGGGAUAAUCCGCAUGAGGAUGCAAAAAUGUAACAGUUAAUGCCGGCAGUAAGCUCUGAAGAUAAGUACCUUGGUCAGGCCCUUGUGGGGAGCUGGAGGUCAACACCAGGCUGCAGCAUGCUGCCACAUGCAGUCUCUCGCCAGGUGACCUGGAGAACAUGCUGCUUGCUUUUCUGCCUCAUCAGGUGGAAGCCUAGCAGAGACUACUCAGAGACCAGGGACUGGGUAGCUGUGUAA
This 369-nucleotide long non-coding RNA is filed under the name Struthio camelus australis. RNAcentral describes it as "lncRNA (ENSSCUG00000011513.1)". Lineage: Eukaryota; Metazoa; Chordata; Aves; Struthioniformes; Struthionidae. The record is from RNAcentral.